This 196-nucleotide microRNA precursor is filed under the name Oryza brachyantha (malo sina). RNAcentral's name for it is "MIR812 microRNA precursor family". It matches the Rfam family "MIR812 microRNA precursor family". Lineage: Eukaryota; Viridiplantae; Streptophyta; Magnoliopsida; Poales; Poaceae. The record is from Rfam by way of RNAcentral.
AAUAAACGAAUUUCUGAGUUUUUUAUUGAAUUUUUGACUCUUCGUCUUAUUUGAAGAUUUUUUAUAAUUAAUAUUUUUAUUGUUAUUACAUAAUAAAAACAUGAAUAGUACUUUGUACGUGACUAAUUUUUUUCAAUUUUUUAAUAAAUUUUUCAAAUAAGACGGAUGGUCAAACGCUCCCUAGAUAAAAAUCAGG